CCUAAUACAUGCAAGGUCGAGCGGACCGACGGGAGCUUGCUCCCUUAGGUCAGCGGCGGACGGGUGAGUAACACGUGGGUAACCUGCCUGUAAGACUGGGAUAACUCCGGGAAACCGGGGCUAAUACCGGAUGCUUGAUUGAGCCGCAUGGUUCAAUUAUAAAAGGUGGCUUUCAGCUACCACUUACAGAUGGACCCGCGGCGCAUUAGCUAGUUGGUGAGGUAACGGCUCACCAAGGCGACGAUGCGUAGCCGACCUGAGAGGGUGAUCGGCCACACUGGGACUGAGACACGGCCCAGACUCCUACGGGAGGCAGCAGUAGGGAAUCUUCCGCAAUGGACGAAAGUCUGACGGAGCAACGCCGCGUGAGUGAUGAAGGUUUUCGGAUCGUAAAACUCUGUUGUUAGGGAAGAACAAGUACCGUUCGAAUAGGGCGGCACCUUGACGGUACCUAACCAGAAAGCCACGGCUAACUACGUGCCAGCAGCCGCGGUAAUACGUAGGUGGCAAGCGUUGUCCGGAAUUAUUGGGCGUAAAGCGCGCGCAGGCGGUUUCUUAAGUCUGAUGUGAAAGCCCCCGGCUCAACCGGGGAGGGUCAUUGGAAACUGGGGAACUUGAGUGCAGAAGAGGAGAGUGGAAUUCCACGUGUAGCGGUGAAAUGCGUAGAGAUGUGGAGGAACACCAGUGGCGAAGGCGACUCUCUGGUCUGUAACUGACGCUGAGGCGCGA
This 729-nucleotide ribosomal RNA is filed under the name uncultured Bacilli bacterium. RNAcentral describes it as "bacterial SSU rRNA". It matches the Rfam family "Bacterial small subunit ribosomal RNA", at positions 47 to 756 of the family's 1533-position model. The record is from RNAcentral. Lineage: Bacteria; Bacillati; Bacillota; Bacilli.